CCGACGGUGAGGGGCGAAAGCUGGGGCACGAACCGGAUUAGAUACCCGGGUAGUCCCAGCCGUAAACGAUGCUCGCUAGGUGUCUGGGAUGGUGCGACCGUUUCAGGUGCCGCAGGGAAGCCGUGAAGCGAGCCACCUGGGAAGUACGGCCGCAAGGCUGAAACUUAAAGGAAUUGGCGGGGGGCACUACAACGGGUGGAGCCUGCGGUUUAAUUGGACUCAACGCCGGAAAACUCACCUGGGGCGA
RNAcentral lists this ribosomal RNA (247 nucleotides) under uncultured archaeon. Its description in RNAcentral is "partial 16S ribosomal RNA". It matches the Rfam family "Archaeal small subunit ribosomal RNA", at positions 691 to 939 of the family's 1478-position model. The record is from RNAcentral.